This 253-nucleotide ribosomal RNA is filed under the name uncultured bacterium. Its description in RNAcentral is "partial 16S ribosomal RNA". It matches the Rfam family "Bacterial small subunit ribosomal RNA", at positions 524 to 776 of the family's 1533-position model. The record is from RNAcentral.
GACAGAGGUGCCGAGCGUUAGGCGGAAUCACUGGGCUUAAAGCGUGUGUAGGCGGAUGCCUAAGUACCUUGUGAAAUCCCCCGGCUUAACCGGGGAACUGCUUGGUAUACUGGGUGUCUUGAGCCACUUAGGGGCGACCGGAACAAACGGUGGAGCGGUGAAAUGCGUAGAUAUCGUUUGGAACGCCAAUGGUGAAAACAGGUCGCUGGGAGUGUGCUGACGCUGAGACACGAAAGCCAGGGGAGCGAACGGG